ACCGAAUAGAUACCCUGGUAGUCCACGCCGUAAACUAUGGAUGCUAGCUGUUGGAGGUAUCGACCCCUUCAGUAGCGAAAGCUAACGCGUUAAGCAUCCCGCCUGUGGAGUACGAGCGCAAGCUUAAAACAUAAAGGAAUUGACGGGGACCCGCACAAGCGGUGGAUCGUGUUCUUUAAUUCGAGGCUAAACGAAGAACCUUACCAGGGCUUGACAUCCCUUGAAUUACUCCGAAAGGAGUGAGUGCUUUAUCGAACAAGGUGACAGGUGUUGCAUGGCCGUCGUCAGCUCGUGUCGUGAGAUGUUUGGUUAAGUCCAUCAACGAGCGCAACCCUUGUGAAUAGUUGUAUUUUUCUAUUCAGACUGCCCCGGCAACGGGGAGGAAGGAGGGGAUGAUGUCAGGUCAGUAUUACCCUUACGUCCUGGGCUAGAAACACGAUACAAUGGUUAGUACAAUGCGCAGCAAAGCCGCGAGGUGGAGCAAAUCGCAUCAAAGCUAAUCUCAGUUCGGAUUGGAGGCUGAAACUCGCCUCC
This 534-nucleotide ribosomal RNA is filed under the name uncultured bacterium. RNAcentral describes it as "bacterial SSU rRNA". It matches the Rfam family "Bacterial small subunit ribosomal RNA", at positions 772 to 1319 of the family's 1533-position model. The record is from RNAcentral.